CUGAAUUGCCCACCUGGGCUGGAAUUUAUGUAAUCCUUCUCCUUUAAUCUUAAUGAGUGCUGGAAUUAGAGGCCUGUGCCACCUUACCCACCUUUGGUUCUUUGGCUUUGUUGAUUGUUGUAGAGCAUCAUCCCUUUCCAGGGCAAAUUAUUCCCCACUGAUGGGCCAAGCCUUUCUGAGUUCUCUACCGAUUCCCAUGAACUCAGGGUUUUCCUAUCUGUCUGGGGGACAGGUUUCUGCUGUCCAUGUGUGAGUCCCAUUCUCACACUCUUCUCUGUGCUUCUUUCCCUUUCGUACAGUGACACUU
Long non-coding RNA from Octodon degus (degu), 307 nucleotides. RefSeq lists it as uncharacterized. The transcript is spliced from 3 exons. The record is from RefSeq and is a predicted model, not a curated record. NCBI's taxonomy places the organism in Eukaryota, Metazoa, Chordata, Mammalia, Rodentia, Octodontidae.